CCGGCGGCGAUAUACCCGGAAUUCCUGCUCGGCUGCUCCGCCAUGCCAGUGAUGUGGCGGGCGGAGCCGGGGAGGCUUCGUGAUUGGAGGAGGGAGAACACGGGAGAGCCAAUCCCGUGCCGCGGGCGGGCUGAUUAGGAACCACGUGACGGAGGAACACGCCGGAUGGACGUUAUCGGACUUGUUCAGCUGUCAGGUCUACAUGGUGUUUGUGAUAUAAACAUUAUUACAUACGUUACAUUUGUUAAAAGGAUGGAUGCAGUUUAAUAUUCACAGGCCUUAGGUUUACUAUUUUGGUUCCCCGUCCCCGCUCGGAUCUGCCUCGCAGCUGUUUUCAGACGUGUACAUGCCCAGAGCCAACGGCUGGACAAUGCAGUGGACAACUUUGUCCCUCUGGAGUCGGCGGUGAAAAGAUAGAGACACUUUCAUCAGGAAGCUGGACCUAUGUGGGACAUUGGCUGCCUCCGGGUCUGGCUGGAAAAACCUCUCACCCUCCAGACCUUUCCACAGUGCUCCUGGCUGCCAAACGCACUCACUCACG
Molecule: long non-coding RNA, 541 nt
Organism: Gasterosteus aculeatus aculeatus (three-spined stickleback)
Lineage: Eukaryota; Metazoa; Chordata; Actinopteri; Perciformes; Gasterosteidae
Source: Ensembl